UUCUCAUUCUCUCUCCACAUUUGGGAAUUUGAUACGUUAAUUUCUCUCUCCCACCUUCUCAUUCUCUCUCCACGUUUUGGAAUUUGAUACAUCAGUUUCUCUCUUUUUUCUCUCCAAUUUAUUUUCUUAGUUUCUCAUUCUCACCAUAACUCUCACCACUUUCUUCUCCUAAAAUCAUUCAGUUAGAACUAACACUACAAGAUUCUCCACAAUAAACUCUCAUAUUAAUAGCCAUAAAUUUCAAAAAAUUUAUUAGGUUUAUUAGAGUUCAAAAUAGGAAAUCACAUUCGGAUCAAAAUUUGGAGUCUUUUGUUGAUUUAUACUGAAUAUGGGGAAGAAAAGUUCUUCAAAGAACUUUAGCAAGAAUCAUGCUUCUGAUUCUGAUUUUGAACAUUCCUAUUCUGAAAAUUCUGAUUUUGUAGAUUCUAAUAUGGAUAAUUCUAUUUUCGAAGAUUCUGAUUUUGAAGAUUCUCCACCAAAGGUUUUGAAAUAUAAACAUGCAGCAAGCCUUGUUGAGCUGAAAAAGAGAAAGCGUAAAGAUAGUGAAGAGGAUGCCAAUGUGGGUUUAAAACCUUCAAAGCGAAAGGCAAAAAAAAAAAAAAAAAAAAAAAAGCGGUGAUGAAGUAGAAAAUCACCAAUUGGAGGACUGGGGUUAUUAUGUCCCAAGGGAUAAAAAAUUCUACCAUGUAUUUUUGGGCAUCUCAAGGUCCAAUCACUGGUCCAAAAUUCUCAAAGUUCUCACUUCUCACUUUAGUUGGAAUCCUUUAGCCUUAUUUUUUAUAGUUAUAACAUUGUUGUUACAGACUUAUUCUUAUAUCAGCAGAUGUUGUUUCAGUGUUAACUUUUUUAGUUAAAUUAUUUAUCAUUUUCUAGUUAAAAUAUCCGAAUAGGUACAUGAAAGGAAUAGUGUGGCUAAUUAAAAUGAUAAUGGGGCAACCAAUCCCAAAGAACACCAAUCAGUUGAGGUUCAUAGAGUUGAGAAUGCCGAUGAUUUCUUGGAUGCAUCUUACCCCAUCAAUGAACAGUCUCAUAAUGAAAUGCUUUGUAAAAAUGAUGACAAGCGUGAGACGAUCGCAUGCCAAAUUGGAUCUGAAUGCAAUUCGAGUGAUGGCAACUUAUCGCCCGUUCAUGGGCUGCCUACAUUUGACGGUGGUGAUUAUAGUCUUCCAACGGACUCUCAAAUAAUGGUAGCGUAUGACCAGUCUAUUAAUCAACACUCGGGAUUGAAGGAUCCACUGGUUCCGCAGCCUAUCAAUACCAAAGACCUUGAAGUGAUAGAAGAUCCGACUCCCAAACCUCCAAAAAGAGCCAAGUUUCCUGGGAGAUUACAAAUGUCACCAUUCGUCACCAUUCCUGAUAGUGCUGAGAGUAGUAAAGCAGUUCAGAGUAAAAAAAAGAAAAAACUUUUACUAUCAAACAUCCAUUCAACGUAGAGAUUGGGGUAGAUGUUGACAUGGAAACAUCCAAUGAAUCAUCUCACUUUGAAAACAGAUGACUUAUGCAAGGUUGAGCAUUUGAAUCUCCACGUGCACUGAUCAUUAACACACACAAGAGAGUACCUAAAACAAGUAAACU
This is a long non-coding RNA of Lycium ferocissimum, 1575 nucleotides long. RefSeq lists it as uncharacterized. Lineage: Eukaryota; Viridiplantae; Streptophyta; Magnoliopsida; Solanales; Solanaceae. The record is from RefSeq and is a predicted model, not a curated record. The transcript is spliced from 4 exons.